RNAcentral lists this ribosomal RNA (274 nucleotides) under uncultured bacterium. Its description in RNAcentral is "partial 16S ribosomal RNA". It matches the Rfam family "Bacterial small subunit ribosomal RNA", at positions 523 to 796 of the family's 1533-position model. The record is from RNAcentral.
AUACGGAGGUUGCGAGCGUUGUUCGGAAUUAUUGGGCGUAAAGAGCAUGUAGGCGGUCUGUUAAGUCUGGUGUGAAAGCCCGGGGCUCAACCCCGGAAGUGCAUUGGAUACUGGCAGACUUGAGUAUGGGAGAGGAAAGCGGAAUUCCGAGUGUAGGAGUGAAAUCCGUAGAUAUUCGGAGGAACACCAGUGGCGAAGGCGGCUUUCUGGACCAAUACUGACGCUGAGAUGCGAAAGCGUGGGGAGCGAACAGGAUUAGAAACCCCGGUAGUCC